GACACGGUGGUGCAGUGGGUAGCACAAUUGCCUCAGAGCAAGAAGGUCACUGGUUCGAUCCCCGGCUGGGUCA
RNAcentral lists this transfer RNA (73 nucleotides) under Danio rerio (zebrafish). It matches the Rfam family "tRNA". From Rfam's summary of the family: Transfer RNA (tRNA) molecules are approximately 80 nucleotides in length. Their secondary structure includes four short double-helical elements and three loops (D, anti-codon, and T loops). Lineage: Eukaryota; Metazoa; Chordata; Actinopteri; Cypriniformes; Danionidae. The record is from Rfam by way of RNAcentral.